This 484-nucleotide ribosomal RNA is filed under the name uncultured bacterium. RNAcentral's name for it is "partial 16S ribosomal RNA". It matches the Rfam family "Bacterial small subunit ribosomal RNA", at positions 30 to 507 of the family's 1533-position model. The record is from RNAcentral.
AUUGAACGCUGGCGGCAGGCCUAACACAUGCAAGUCGAGCGGAUGAAGGGAGCUUGCUCCUGGAUUCAGCGGCGGACGGGUGAGUAAUGCCUAGGAAUCUGCCUGGUAGUGGGGGAUAACGUCCGGAAACGGGCGCUAAUACCGCAUACGUCCUGAGGGAGAAAGUGGGGAAUCUUCGGACCUCACGCUAUCAGAUGAGCCUAGGUCGGAUUAGCUAGUUGGUGGGGUAAAGGCCUACCAAGGCGACGAUCCGUAACUGGUCUGAGAGGAUGAUCAGUCACACUGGAACUGAGACACGGUCCAGACUCCUACGGGAGGCAGCAGUGGGGAAUAUUGGACAAAGGGCGAAAGCCUGAUCCAGCCAUGCCGCGUGUGUGAAGAAGGUCUUCGGAUUGUAAAGCACUUUAAGUUGGGAGGAAGUGCAGUAAGUUAAUACCUUGCUGUUUUGACGUUACCAACAGAAUAAGCACCGGCUAACUUCGUG